GUAAUGGCUCACCAAGGCUUCGACGGGUAGCCGGCCUGAGAGGUGACCGGCCACACUGGGACUGAGACACGGCCCAGACUCCUACGGGAGGCAGCAGUGGGGAAUAUUGGACAAUGGGCGAAAGCCUGAUCCAGCAACGCCGCGUGAGGGAUGACUGCCUUCGGGUUGUAAACCUCUUUCAGCGGGGACGGAGCGAAAGUGACGGUACCCGCAGAAGAAGCACCGGCUAACUACGUGCCAGCAGCCGCGGUAAGACGUAGGGGACGAGCGUUGUCCGGAUUUAUUGGGCGUAAAGCGCGCGCAGGCGGCCCGCUAAGUCGGAUGUGAAAUCCCGCGGCUCAACCGCGGAACUGCACUCGAUACUGGUGGGCUUGAGGCAGGUAGGGGAGAUCGGAAUUCCUGGUGUAGCGGUGAAAUGCGCAGAUAUCAGGAGGAACACCGGUGGCGAAGGCGGAUCUCUGGGCCUGUCCUGACGCUGAGGCGCGAAAGCUAGGGGAGCGAACAGGAUUAGAUACCCUGGUAGUCCUGGCCGUAAACGUUGGGUGCUAGGUGU
RNAcentral lists this ribosomal RNA (553 nucleotides) under uncultured Actinomycetes bacterium. Its description in RNAcentral is "bacterial SSU rRNA". It matches the Rfam family "Bacterial small subunit ribosomal RNA", at positions 257 to 823 of the family's 1533-position model. The record is from RNAcentral. Lineage: Bacteria; Bacillati; Actinomycetota; Actinomycetes.